RNAcentral lists this ribosomal RNA (450 nucleotides) under uncultured bacterium. Its description in RNAcentral is "bacterial SSU rRNA". It matches the Rfam family "Bacterial small subunit ribosomal RNA", at positions 354 to 796 of the family's 1533-position model. The record is from RNAcentral.
GUAGGGAAUCUUCCACAAUGGGCGCAAGCCUGAUGGAGCAACGCCGCGUGAAUGAAGAAGGUCUUCGGAUCGUAAAGUUCUGUUAUUAGAGAAGAACACGUGUAAGAGUAACUGAUUAUGCGUUGACGGUAUCUAAUCAGCAAGUCACGGCUAACUACGUGCCAGCAGCCGCGGUAAUACGUAGGUGGCAAGCGUUGUCCGGAUUUAUUGGGCGUAAAGGGAACGCAGGCGGUUUUUUAAGUCUGAUGUGAAAGCCUUCGGCUUAACCGGAGAUGUGCAUUGGAAACUGGAAGACUUGAGUGCAGAAGAGGAGAGUGGAACUCCAUGUGUAGCGGUGAAAUGCGUAGAUAUAUGGAAGAACACCAGUGGCGAAAGCGGCUCUCUGGUCUGUAACUGACGCUGAGGUUCGAAAGCGUGGGUAGCGAACAGGAUUAGAUACCCGAGUAGUCC